ACAAUAGGUAACACAUAAUGUUUAAAUAAUCUUGUUAACUCGAAAAUAAUUAAUUUGACAAGUUUUCGAUAUCUCAGAUUUUCUUAUCCGAAUUUAGUACUAAAAAUAGUUUAUCAAGGCGAUUAUUUUUCGAAAAACCCGACCAAUUUAGUCAACAACAUAUUUGAAAUUUAAACCUUGAUAACUUUAUACAAUAGAUAUCAGUUUUAGUUCUAUGCCGUCUGUUCGUUUAAUCGUUUAUCGUUUGAGUGUGACAGUCUUAAUCACGAAUUAUAAUUUAAUAUUUUUUUUAAUAUUUUAAUUCGUGGUGUUAAUACAGCGGUUAUUAUGGCUCAACAAAGAAAAUUAAUUAUAUUAUCACUUGCAGAAAAAGUGAACUCACUUAAAAUUAUUGAAAAAGGCGAAAAAAAAACAAGACAUAGCCAAAGAUUUUGGAAUUCCGGCGAAUACAUUAUCUACAAUAAUAAAAUAUAUAGAAGGCAAUGAAGAUUUAUUACCAGCCCAAUGUGUGUCACAAUAUUUAACUAGCUGGCGUUGCACUUGCUACAUAACAAUAACUUGAAUACAAUUAUGGCGUAAUUAAUUGGACUUGUACUAAGAAUUUAAAUACAGAUAAAUUUGAAUAGUCA
This 629-nucleotide long non-coding RNA is filed under the name Rhopalosiphum maidis (corn leaf aphid). RNAcentral describes it as "uncharacterized LOC113556256, transcript variant X1". The record is from RNAcentral. Lineage: Eukaryota; Metazoa; Arthropoda; Insecta; Hemiptera; Aphididae.